RNAcentral lists this ribosomal RNA (245 nucleotides) under uncultured bacterium. RNAcentral's name for it is "partial 16S ribosomal RNA". It matches the Rfam family "Bacterial small subunit ribosomal RNA", at positions 535 to 776 of the family's 1533-position model. The record is from RNAcentral.
CGAACGUUAUCCGGAAUUAUUGGGCGUAAAGGGUGCGUAGGUGGCCUGACAAGUUAUCAGUGGCAAAUCGAGGCUCAACCUCGUGGAAACUGGUAAUACUGUCCGGCUUGAGUACAGGAGAGGUUAACGGAACUCUAUGUGGAGCGGUAAAAUGCAAAGAUAUAUAGAAGAACAUCAAUAACGGCGAAGGCAGUUAACUAUUCUGUUACUGACACUGAGGCACGAAAGCGUGGGGAGCAAAACGG